RNAcentral lists this ribosomal RNA (1301 nucleotides) under Diaporthe ueckeri. Its description in RNAcentral is "partial large subunit ribosomal RNA". It matches the Rfam family "Eukaryotic large subunit ribosomal RNA", at positions 81 to 1413 of the family's 3401-position model. The record is from RNAcentral. Lineage: Eukaryota; Fungi; Ascomycota; Sordariomycetes; Diaporthales; Diaporthaceae.
UAGUAACGGCGAGUGAAGCGGCAACAGCUCAAAUUUGAAAUCUGGCUUCGGCCCGAGUUGUAAUUUGCAGAGGAUGUUUCUGGCGCGGUGCCUUCCGAGUUCCCUGGAACGGGACGCCACAGAGGGUGAGAGCCCCGUAUGGUCGGACACCAAGCCUGUGUGAAACUCCUUCAACGAGUCGAGUAGUUUGGGAAUGCUGCUCUAAAUGGGAGGUAAAUCUCUUCUAAAGCUAAAUACCGGCCAGAGACCGAUAGCGCACAAGUAGAGUGAUCGAAAGAUGAAAAGCACCUUGAAAAGGGGGUUAAAUAGUACGUGAAAUUGUUGAAAGGGAAGCACUUAUGACCAGACUUGGGCCGGGCGGCUCAUCAGGGGUUCUCCCCUGUGCACUCCGCCCGGCACAGGCCAGCAUCGGUUUUCGCGGGGGGAUAAGACCGACGGGAACGUAGCACCCUCCGGGGUGUGUUAUAGCCCGGCGGACGAUACCCUCGCGGGGACCGAGGUCCGCGCUCCGCAAGGAUGCUGGCGUAAUGGUCAUCAGUGACCCGUCUUGAAACACGGACCAAGGAGUCGUCCAUUAGAGCGAGCGUUUGGGUGUAAAACCCGCACGCGUAAUGAAAGUGAACGCAGGUGAGAGCUUCGGCGCAUCAUCGACCGAUCCUGAUGUUCUCGGAAGGAUUUGAGUAAGAGUUUUAACGGACGGACCCGAAAGACAGUGAACUAUGCUUGUAUAGGGUGAAGCCAGAGGAAACUCUGGUGGAGGCUCGCAGCGGUUCUGACGUGCAAAUCGAUCGUCAAAUAUGAGCAUGGGGGCGAAAGACUAAUCGAACUGUCUAGUAGCUGGUUACCGCCGAAGUUUCCCUCAGGAUAGCAGUGUUGAUCUUCAGUUUUAUGAGGUAAAGCGAAUGAUUAGGGACUCGGGGGCGCUAUAUUGCCUUCAUCCAUUCUCAAACUUUAAAUAUGUAAGAAGCCCUUGUUACUUAGUUGAACGUGGGCAUUCGAAUGUACCAACACUAGUGGGCCAUUUUUGGUAAGCAGAACUGGCGAUGCGGGAUGAACCGAACGCGGGGUUAAGGCGCCAGAGUGUACGCUCAUCAGACACCACAAAAGGCGUUAGUACAUCUUGACAGCAGGACGGUGGCCAUGGAAGUCGGAAUCCGCUAAGGACUGUGUAACAACUCACCUGCCGAAUGUACUAGCCCUGAAAAUGGAUGGCGCUCAAGCGUACCGCCCAUACCCCGCCCCCAGGGUAGAAACGAUGCCCUGGGGAGUAGGCGGCCGUGGAGGUCAGUGACGAAGCCUAG